GUGUCAGCAGCCGCGGUAAUACAGAGGGGGCAAGCGUUGUUCGGAAUUACUGGGCGUAAAGGGCGCGUAGGCGGCCUGUUAAGUCGAACGUGAAAUCCCCGGGCUCAACCCGGGAACUGCGUCCGAAACUGGCAGGCUCGAAUUCGGGAGAGGGAUGCGGAAUUCCAGGUGUAGCGGUGAAAUGCGUAGAUAUCUGGAGGAACAUCGGUGGCGAAGGCGGCAUCCUGGACCGAUAUUGACGCUGAGGCGCGAAAGCCAGGGGAGCAAACGGGAUUAGAUACCCGCGUAGUCC
RNAcentral lists this ribosomal RNA (292 nucleotides) under uncultured bacterium. RNAcentral describes it as "partial 16S ribosomal RNA". It matches the Rfam family "Bacterial small subunit ribosomal RNA", at positions 505 to 796 of the family's 1533-position model. The record is from RNAcentral.